This 119-nucleotide ribosomal RNA is filed under the name Olea europaea subsp. europaea. Lineage: Eukaryota; Viridiplantae; Streptophyta; Magnoliopsida; Lamiales; Oleaceae. The record is from RNAcentral.
AGAUAUAUAUAUACACACAUGCUAACGUAUCGGACCCAUCAGAACUCCGAAGUUAAACCUGCUUGGACGAGAGUAGUAAUGGAUGGAUAACCUCUUAGGAAGUCCUCAUAUUGUACCCA